This 465-nucleotide ribosomal RNA is filed under the name uncultured bacterium. RNAcentral describes it as "partial 16S ribosomal RNA". It matches the Rfam family "Bacterial small subunit ribosomal RNA", at positions 28 to 507 of the family's 1533-position model. The record is from RNAcentral.
GACGAACGCUGGCGGCGUGCUUAACACAUGCAAGUCGAACGGAAAGGCCCCCUUGUGGGGUACUCGAGUGGCGAACGGGUGAGUAACACGUGAGUAACCUACCCUUGACUUUGGGAUAACUUCAGGAAACUGGGGCUAAUACCGGAUAGGAGCUCCUGCUGCAUGGUGGGGGUUGGAAAGUUUCGGCGGUUGGGGAUGGACUCGCGGCUUAUCAGCUUGUUGGUGGGGUAGUGGCUCACCAAGGCUUUGACGGGUAGCCGGCCUGAGAGGGUGACCGGCCACAUUGGGACUGAGAUACGGCCCAGACUCCUACGGGAUGCAGCAGUGGGGAAUAUUGCACAAUGGGCGGAAGCCUGAUGCAGCAACGCCGCGUGCGGGAUGACGGCCUUCGGGUUGUAAACCGCUUUCGCCUGUGACGAAGCGUGAGUGACGGUAAUGGGUAAAGAAGCACCGGCUAACUACGUG